CCUACGGGAGGCAGCAGUGGGGAAUAUUGCACAAUGGGCGCAAGCCUGAUGCAGCGACGCCGCGUGAGGGAUGACGGCCUUCGGGUUGUAAACCUCUUUCGCUAGGGACGAAGCGCAAGUGACGGUACCUGGAGAAGAAGCACCGGCCAACUACGUGCCAGCAGCCGCGGUAAU
This 174-nucleotide ribosomal RNA is filed under the name uncultured bacterium. RNAcentral describes it as "partial 16S ribosomal RNA". It matches the Rfam family "Bacterial small subunit ribosomal RNA", at positions 338 to 524 of the family's 1533-position model. The record is from RNAcentral.